RNAcentral lists this ribosomal RNA (412 nucleotides) under uncultured bacterium. Its description in RNAcentral is "bacterial SSU rRNA". It matches the Rfam family "Bacterial small subunit ribosomal RNA", at positions 30 to 436 of the family's 1533-position model. The record is from RNAcentral.
AUUGAACGCUGGCGGCAUGCCUUACACAUGCAAGUCGAACGGCAGCACGGGAGCUUGCUCCUGGUGGCGAGUGGCGAACGGGUGAGUAAUACAUCGGAACGUACCCUGAAGUGGGGGAUAACGUAGCGAAAGUUACGCUAAUACCGCAUAUUCUGUGAGCAGGAAAGAGGGGGAUCGCAAGACCUCUUGCUUUAGGAGCGGCCGAUGUCGGAUUAGCUAGUUGGUGAGGUAAAGGCUCACCAAGGCGACGAUCCGUAGCGGGUCUGAGAGGAUGAUCCGCCACACUGGGACUGAGACACGGCCCAGACUCCUACGGGAGGCAGCAGUGGGGAAUUUUGGACAAUGGGCGCAAGCCUGAUCCAGCCAUGCCGCGUGAGUGAAGAAGGGCCUUCGGGUUGUUAAAGGACUCUUU